RNAcentral lists this ribosomal RNA (484 nucleotides) under uncultured bacterium. Its description in RNAcentral is "partial 16S ribosomal RNA". It matches the Rfam family "Bacterial small subunit ribosomal RNA", at positions 30 to 507 of the family's 1533-position model. The record is from RNAcentral.
AUUGAACGCUGGCGGCAGGCCUAACACAUGCAAGUCGAGCGGAUGAAGGGAGCUUGCUCCUGGAUUCAGCGGCGGACGGGUGAGUAAUGCCUAGGAAUCUGCCUGGUAGUGGGGGAUAACGUCCGGAAACGAGCGCUAAUACCGCAUACGUCCUGAGGGAGAAAGUGGGGGAUCUUCGGACCUCACGCUAUCAGAUGAGCCUAGGUCGGAUUAGCUAGUUGGUGGGGUAAAGGCCUACCAAGGCGACGAUCCGUAACUGGUCUGAGAGGAUGAUCAGUCACACUGGAACUGAGACACGGUCCAGACUCCUACGGGAGGCAGCAGUGGGGAAUAUUGGACAAUGGGCGAAAGCCUGAUCCAGCCAUGCCGCGUGUGUGAAGAAGGUCUUCGGAUUGUAAAGCACUUUAAGUUGGGGGGAAGGGCAGUAAGUUAAUACCUUGCUGUUUUGACGUUACCAACAGAAUAAGCACCGGCUAACUUCGUG